ACCAUCAGGGCGUUGUGUGAUCGUGGGGAACACCGUCCUAUUGUUCUGCAGAAAAGAAGCCUGCAAAGUCCAGUGUGUUGGUAGAACAUCGUAAGGUAAAGUGAUCGUUUGUAUUUAGAAUAUAGUUGAGUAUUUAGUUUAAAUGGAGCGCGAUUUUCCUCUUGUUAAGGUAGCCUUUUGUUUUGGUGAAAGUUUAUUUAUUUUUCUUUUGUCGUGUUGCUUGUCGAAGUUUAUUUUUACUUCUCAGCAAUUUAAAAGAGGCCCGCGGUGUUCCGCGCUGUGCGGUUGUGCGCCGUCACAACAGCAGGGUGUUUAGUUUUAUGCUUUACAACCAGGAGGUGUAUUGGUUAUUCACGCGCUGCAGAGACAGUGAAUAAUAACCAGAAAGAACAGAUUUAUUAGACUGGAAGUGCAAGACAUUGUUUAUUGUAAUACAGAUUCAAGACACAUUGCAUAUGGUUUACACAGGAAAAGUGGACACUUGUUUUUAGUUGGGACACAAUUUGCUUCUGUGGACAACCAGGAGUUGGCUGCAGGGGUUCCUUCCCCACAGCCCGGAUAUAACUUGUUCUAUCUUUGUUCACUUCUCUGGACGUCUGGGGUCAUCUCAAUUGUGUUCCUGGGCUUCUUCUUUAAAGGGGAUCCAUCCUGCGUUUACUUGUGUUACAGGACUACUCCAGCAGAGGGAGCCUGUCUUGGACUUACCUGUGUUACAGGUCUACUCCAGCAGAGGGAGUCUGUUGUAUACUUACCUGUGUUACAGAGUUACUCCAGCAAGGGGAGCCAGCUCUGUGUUCAUCUGUGUUAUAGGACUACUCCAGCAGAAGGAGUCCAUCCUGUACUUACCUGUGAUCCAGGACAGCUCUAAGGAAGAGAGCUGGCCCUGUUCUUACCUGUGGACUGACUCACUUCGGCGGAAGGAAUCUCGCUCCAUGGAAAAACGUGUGUCGAGACCGUCAGCUCGCUGUUCAGCAUUGCUGACUGAAUACCUCCUGAUCAAAAACAGAGGAGGAUUCGCCUCAUCAUGUUGGUACCAAUAAAGAUCGUAGGUGGAAUAACUUGUCGUGUAUUUACAAGUAAUAUGGACAUCUCCUCCUUCCUGAACUUGUUUUUCAGACUCUUCCAUUGUUAGUGUAUUUCCAAGGACAAAAUCUUAAAUAAAUAAAAGAAUGCUUCAAUA
This is a long non-coding RNA of Acipenser ruthenus (sterlet), 1180 nucleotides long. RefSeq lists it as uncharacterized. The transcript has 2 exons. Lineage: Eukaryota; Metazoa; Chordata; Actinopteri; Acipenseriformes; Acipenseridae. The record is from RefSeq and is a predicted model, not a curated record.